Apodemus sylvaticus (European woodmouse) is the source of this 162-nucleotide small nuclear RNA. RefSeq annotates it as U1 spliceosomal RNA. The record is from RefSeq and is a predicted model, not a curated record. The transcript has a single exon. NCBI's taxonomy places the organism in Eukaryota, Metazoa, Chordata, Mammalia, Rodentia, Muridae.
AUACUAACCUGGCAUGGAAGAUACCAUAAUCACAAAAGUGGUUUUUCUAGGGAGAGGAUUAUUCAUUACAUUCUGCACGUGCUGUCUACUGUGGUUUUCCCCAAUUGCAGGAUAUUCAACUGCACAAUUUGAGGUAAUGGAAGACUGCAUUCAUCUCUCCCC